RNAcentral lists this small nucleolar RNA (96 nucleotides) under Chloebia gouldiae (Gouldian finch). RNAcentral's name for it is "Erythrura gouldiae (Gouldian finch) Small nucleolar RNA SNORD116 (ENSEGOG00005016597.1)". It matches the Rfam family "Small nucleolar RNA SNORD116". Rfam says of the family: HBII-85 is a member of the C/D class of snoRNAs, which contain the C (UGAUGA) and D (CUGA) box motifs. Lineage: Eukaryota; Metazoa; Chordata; Aves; Passeriformes; Passeridae. The record is from Rfam by way of RNAcentral.
UAAUUGAUAUUUAAUUUCCUGUAGGCUGUCCUGGCAAAUGUUAAUCAAGUGACAGAAAAUUCCUUACAAAUUUUAAUGUAUUAAUAACUGAAAUUA